RNAcentral lists this ribosomal RNA (253 nucleotides) under uncultured bacterium. RNAcentral's name for it is "partial 16S ribosomal RNA". It matches the Rfam family "Bacterial small subunit ribosomal RNA", at positions 524 to 776 of the family's 1533-position model. The record is from RNAcentral.
UACGAAGGGGGCUAGCGUUGUUCGGAAUCACUGGGCGUAAAGCGCACGUAGGCGGAUCUUUAAGUCAGGGGUGAAAUCCCAAGGCUCAACCUUGGAACUGCCUUUGAUACUGGGGAUCUCGAGUUCGGGAGAGGUGAGUGGAACUGCGAGUGUAGAGGUGAAAUUCGUAGAUAUUCGCAAGAACACCAGUGGCGAAGGCGGCUCACUGGCCCGAUACUGACGCUGAGGUGCGAAAGCGUGGGGAGCAAACAGG